GGCAUGCAAGUCGAGCGAUCACCAGCAAUGGUGGGAGCGGCGAACGGCGUAGUAAUGUGUAGGAACGUACCCUCUGGUCGGGGAUAGCUACGGGAAACUGUAGGUAAUACCCGAUGAACUCUGCGGGGCAAAGGUGUGAUUCCGCCGGAGGAGCGGCCUACAUGAUAUUAGCUUGUUGGUGGGGUAAUUGCUUACCAAGGCGAUGAUGUCUAGGGGGUGUGAGAGCAUGGCCCCCACGACCGGAACUGAGAUACUGUCCGGACACCUACGGGUGGCUGCAGUCGAGAAUCUUCCGCAAUGGACGAAAGUCUGACGGAGCGAUGCCGCGUGCGGGAUGAAGGCCCUUGGGUUGUAAACCGCUGUCAGGGGGGAUGAAAUCUCCGAAGGUUCUCCUUCGGAGUUGACAGAGCCCCAGAGGAAGCACGGGCUAAGUAUGUGCCAGCAGCCGCGGUAAUACAUACUGUGCGAACGUUAUUCGGAAUCACUGGGCUUAAAGGGUGCGUAGGCGGCGAUUCAAGUCAGAUGUGAAAUGCCUGAGCUCAACUGAGGCAUUGCGUUUGAAACUGGGUUGCUUGAGUGUCCCAGGGGUGUGCGGAACUGCUAGUGGAGCGGUGAAAUGUAUUGAUAUUGGCAGGAAC
This 638-nucleotide ribosomal RNA is filed under the name uncultured bacterium. Its description in RNAcentral is "bacterial SSU rRNA". It matches the Rfam family "Bacterial small subunit ribosomal RNA", at positions 52 to 707 of the family's 1533-position model. The record is from RNAcentral.